RNAcentral lists this small nuclear RNA (300 nucleotides) under Castor canadensis (American beaver). Its description in RNAcentral is "7SK RNA (ENSCCNG00000030092.1)". It matches the Rfam family "7SK RNA". From Rfam's summary of the family: 7SK was discovered as an abundant small nuclear RNA in the mid-70s but a possible function has only recently been suggested. Lineage: Eukaryota; Metazoa; Chordata; Mammalia; Rodentia; Castoridae. The record is from RNAcentral.
AAGGUUGGAUUGAGAGGGUAAUCUGGUAGCGACAUUAACCGCCAGGGUUGAUUUGGCUGAUCUGGUUGGCUAGGCGGGUGUCCCUUUCCUCAAUGCUUUAUGUGCGUCCCUCCUGAAGCUGUGUGCUAGGUCGAAGAGGACGACCAUCCCCUUUAGAGGAGGCCAGUUCUUUGGUCAAGGGAAUAAGUGCAACUGUGCUCCCUUGCUAGAACCGCCAAAUAAGCUCUCAAGAAUAAAGGUUUAUUUUAGCUCAUGGUUCUGGAGGCUAGAAAUCUAAGAGCAUGAGGAUGACACCUGCUU